GGCUUGGUGGCGUAAUGGUAACAUGUUCCGUGUCCUUUGCAACGUUUGCAUAUUGUUGGAUGGAAAGUUCGGAGUUCAAUUCUCCAUCGAGCCU
Molecule: non-coding RNA, 94 nt
Organism: Mycena latifolia
Lineage: Eukaryota; Fungi; Basidiomycota; Agaricomycetes; Agaricales; Mycenaceae
Source: the annotation of a GenBank genome assembly